Molecule: ribosomal RNA, 255 nt
Filed under: uncultured bacterium
Lineage: Bacteria
Description: partial 16S ribosomal RNA
Rfam family: Bacterial small subunit ribosomal RNA
Source: RNAcentral
GACAUAGGUCGCAAACGUUAUCCGGAAUUAUUGGGCGUAAAGGAUGCGUAGAUGGUUCAGUAAGUUACUGGUGGGAAAUCGAGGCCCAACCUCGUGGAAGUUAGUAAUACUGUUGAACUUGAGUGCAGGAGAGGUUAACGGAACUUCAUGUGGAGCGGUAAAAUGCGUAGAUAUAUGAAAGAACAUCAAUAUGGCGAAGGCAGUUAACUAGUCUGCUACUGACAGUGAGGCAUGAAAGCGUGGGGAGCAAAACGG